Molecule: ribosomal RNA, 254 nt
Filed under: uncultured bacterium
Lineage: Bacteria
Description: partial 16S ribosomal RNA
Rfam family: Bacterial small subunit ribosomal RNA
Source: RNAcentral
UACGUAGGGUGCAAGCGUUGUCCGGAAUUAUUGGGCGUAAAGAGCUCGUAGGCGGUCUGUCGCGUCGAAUGUGAAAACCCGGGGCUCAACCCCGGGCCUGCAUUCGAUACGGGCAGACUAGAGUUCGGUAGGGGAGUCUGGAAUUCCUGGUGUAGCGGUGAAAUGCGCAGAUAUCAGGAGGAACACCGGUGGCGAAGGCGGGAUCUCUGGGCCGUAACUGACGCUGAGGAGCGAAAGCGUGGGGAGCGAACAGG